Molecule: transfer RNA, 76 nt
Filed under: Candidatus Eiseniibacteriota bacterium
Lineage: Bacteria; Candidatus Eiseniibacteriota
Description: tRNA-Val
Rfam family: tRNA
About the family: Transfer RNA (tRNA) molecules are approximately 80 nucleotides in length. Their secondary structure includes four short double-helical elements and three loops (D, anti-codon, and T loops). Further hydrogen bonds mediate the characteristic L-shaped molecular structure. tRNAs have two regions of fundamental functional importance: the anti-codon, which is responsible for specific mRNA codon recognition, and the 3' end, to which the tRNAs corresponding amino acid is attached (by aminoacyl-tRNA synthetases). tRNAs cope with the degeneracy of the genetic code in two manners: having more than one tRNA (with a specific anti-codon) for a particular amino acid; and 'wobble' base-pairing, i.e. permitting non-standard base-pairing at the 3rd anti-codon position.
Source: RNAcentral
GGGCGUUUAGCUCAGUUGGUAGAGCACUUGCUCGACAAGCAAGGGGUCACUGGUUCAAGUCCAGUAACGCCCACCA